Molecule: ribosomal RNA, 520 nt
Filed under: uncultured Glomeromycotina
Lineage: Eukaryota; Fungi; Glomeromycota
Description: SSU rRNA
Rfam family: Eukaryotic small subunit ribosomal RNA
Source: RNAcentral
AGCAGCCGCGGUAAUUCCAGCUCCAAUAGCGUAUAUUAAAGUUGUUGCAGUUAAAAAGCUCGUAGUUGAAUUUCGGGAUUCUACCAUUGGUCAGGCUAUUGUCUGUACUGGCGUGUAGAAUUUCUACCUUCUGGGGAACUAUCAUGUUAUUAAUUUAGCGUGGUAGGAAACCAGGACCUUUACCUUGAAAAAAUUAGAGUGUUCAAAGCAGGCUUAUGUCUGAAUACAUUAGCAUGGAAUAAUAAAAUAGGACGGUGGUCCUGUUUUGUUGGUUUCUGAAUCACCGUAAUGAUUAAUAGGGAUAGUUGGGGGCAUUAGUAUUCAAUUGUCAGAGGUGAAAUUCUUGGAUUUAUUGAAGACUAACUACUGCGAAAGCAUUUGCCAAGGAUGUUUUCAUUAAUCAAGAACGAAAGUUAGGGGAUCGAAGACGAUCAGAUACCGUCGUAGUCUUAACCAUAAACUAUGCCGACUAGGGAUCGGACGAUGUCAACUUUUCUUGACUCGUUCGGCGUCCUUACGG